RNAcentral lists this transfer RNA (72 nucleotides) under Camelus bactrianus (Bactrian camel). It matches the Rfam family "tRNA". From Rfam's summary of the family: Transfer RNA (tRNA) molecules are approximately 80 nucleotides in length. Their secondary structure includes four short double-helical elements and three loops (D, anti-codon, and T loops). The record is from Rfam by way of RNAcentral. RNAcentral also lists the same sequence under 2 other names. Lineage: Eukaryota; Metazoa; Chordata; Mammalia; Artiodactyla; Camelidae.
GAGGGUAUAGCUCAGGGGUAGAGCACAUGCUUGGCAUCCACAGGGUUCUGGGUUCAAUCCCCAGUACCUCCA